UACAGAGGGUGCGAGCGUUAAUCGGAAUUACUGGGCGUAAAGCGCACGUAGGUGGCGACGUAAGUCGGGUGUGAAAGCCCCGGGCUCAACCUGGGAAUUGCAUUCGAGACUGCAUUGCUGGAGUACGGAAGAGGAGGGCGGAAUUCCCGGUGUAGCGGUGAAAUGCGUAGAUAUGCGGAGGAACACCGAUGGCGAAGUCAAUCCCCUGGGCCUGCACUGACGCUCAUGCACGAAAGCGUGGGGAGCAAACAGG
Molecule: ribosomal RNA, 253 nt
Filed under: uncultured bacterium
Lineage: Bacteria
Description: partial 16S ribosomal RNA
Rfam family: Bacterial small subunit ribosomal RNA
Source: RNAcentral